Molecule: ribosomal RNA, 329 nt
Filed under: uncultured bacterium
Lineage: Bacteria
Description: bacterial SSU rRNA
Rfam family: Bacterial small subunit ribosomal RNA
Source: RNAcentral
GACGAACGCUGGCGGCGUGCUUAACACAUGCAAGUCGAACGAAGAGCGAUGGAAGCUUGCUUCUAUCAAUCUUAGUGGCGAACGGGUGAGUAACGCGUAAUCAACCUGCCCUUCAGAGGGGGACAACAGUUGGAAACGACUGCUAAUACCGCAUACGAUCUAAUCUCGGCAUCGAGGAUAGAUGAAAGGUGGCCUCUACAUGUAAGCUAUCACUGAAGGAGGGGAUUGCGUCUGAUUAGCUAGUUGGAGGGGUAACGGCCCACCAAGGCGAUGAUCAGUAGCCGGUCUGAGAGGAUGAACGGCCACAUUGGGACUGAGACACGGCCCAG